RNAcentral lists this ribosomal RNA (450 nucleotides) under uncultured bacterium. Its description in RNAcentral is "bacterial SSU rRNA". It matches the Rfam family "Bacterial small subunit ribosomal RNA", at positions 354 to 796 of the family's 1533-position model. The record is from RNAcentral.
GUGGGGAAUAUUGGACAAUGGGCGAAAGCCUGAUCCAGCCAUGCCGCGUGUGUGAAGAAGGUCUUCGGAUUGUAAAGCACUUUAAGUUGGGAGGAAGGGCAGUAAGUUAAUACCUUGCUGUUUUGACGUUACCAACAGAAUAAGCACCGGCUAACUUCGUGCCAGCAGCCGCGGUAAUACGAAGGGUGCAAGCGUUAAUCGGAAUUACUGGGCGUAAAGCGCGCGUAGGUGGUUCAGCAAGUUGGAGGUGAAAUCCCCGGGCUCAACCUGGGAACUGACUCCAAAACUACUGAGCUAGAGUACGGUAGAGGGUAGUGGAAUUUCCUGUGUAGCGGUGAAAUGCGUAGAUAUAGGAAGGAACACCAGUGGCGAAGGCGACUACCUGGACUGAUACUGACACUGAGGUGCGAAAGCGUGGGGAGCAAACAGGAUUAGAAACCCGUGUAGUCC